This 69-nucleotide transfer RNA is filed under the name Gramastacus insolitus. Its description in RNAcentral is "tRNA-Gln". The record is from RNAcentral. Lineage: Eukaryota; Metazoa; Arthropoda; Malacostraca; Decapoda; Parastacidae.
UAUAUGCAGGUGUAAAGUGCACGGAAAGUUUUGAUCUUUUAAGGACUAGUGUGAUUCUAGUGGAUAUAG